GAUUUUGUAAAAUUAUAUUUAAAUUAAUAAUUUAAGUAUUUUACACAAACUAUACAAAAUUCAGAACUUCUUCUCUGAUCCCUCCUCCGUCAUUCACCGCUCUUUCCAGAGACCUUCUCGACGGUACAAACAUCGAUAGCUUCCUUUCCUUCUUUCUCUCAGAAAGUCAUUCCCGAUCCUUCCACCACUGCUUCCUCACUAGGUUUGAACCCCUCCAAAAUGUCGAAUGUCUGUUCAUUGCCUUCGAUGAAGUGGACAUAUCUAUACUUCACCGCCCGUGUAAUCCAAUCAUAUUAGUAUAAGUGUCACUAGCCAAUUUCUUUUUGUCUCUUUCAUUCCCAUGUAUUCUUUUCCCCCUGUCGGUGGCGGUCCUUGGGUUUUGAUUAACUCCAUCGAAACCUCUGCUUCAUUUCUCUAUCGUCCCUAAGUCUGGAGUCCGACCACCACAGUUCGCACCUCCAACAUCGCUAGAAAGAAGGAAAAACCAUGCAAUGGUUGUGGUUUGAUCGACUGUUUCUCAAUUUCAAUUUCUGCCUCAAUCUUCUGACAUGUCUGCUGACCAUGGUUUUUGGUGGAAUUUUUCCACCAUCUUAAAUCGCCGAUGGUGAAAGGGAUUGAGGUAGAUGAUGUAAAUGUGAAGGAAGCUUACUUCAAAGGGGUUUGUUUCUUGAUGUAUGAGAAUUUUCAAGAGCCUAUAAGCAGGGAAAUGAUUUGGGACGACUUGAUCUGAUUAAAUUACAUUCCCAAUUUGGAUUUGUUGGUUAGAUGGUUUUUAUUUCAUGUUUUAUUUUUUCUGUUAUGUUUUGUACAUUGUUGAAUUGUUGGUUAGCUUAUCAACAUGGGUUUGAGAAGUAAUGCUUUGAGAUUAUCAACAUUUUUAGAUGAUGAUGGUAGGAAUGCUUUGAGAUGUUUACUCACUACUUAUGCUACACAUAACCCCUGUGUUGGCUAUUGUCAGAAAGAGAAAGAGGAUGAUUUGAAGAAAGUACUUGUCUUACAAUGACAAAUGAAAAUUGAAGAACUUAAAGGAAAGUUGCAGGUGAUGAAGCAUUUUAAAAUUAAAAAUUACGUGUUUGGCUAUUUACCCAACCAACGUAUAUAACAUUCUGCUUAAAGAAAAUACAAUUUAGUUAUUUCUAUAUAUACACAUUCAAUUUUGCAAUAAAUGUGGCAAUUUUUUUGUUUUAUUUUACUUAAAGAAAGAAAGAACAUAUUAAAUAUUAGUAUGAACUCAAGAUUGUACUUUUUUAGUUUAAAGAUCUGAUUAGAUACCAACUAAACCAAAAGGAAGAAGUUAUUAGUCAUGGUGAUUCAUAGGAUAGAAAAUAAAUAAAAAUUAUAUUACUUGGAGUUGAAUAUGAAGCUUGGCUUUUUCUAUGCAAAAAUACAAGUCAAACAAGUGGAGGAACAAGUACUUAAUUUUUUCCAAUAACUCUGUAUAAUAAUAUUUUGUGGCUUUUUCUUUUUUUAGUAAAAGGCGAAAGAAUAUGAAAUUAUUUUAUAUUUAGGUUGGAACUAAACCAACAAAGACCUCUAGAUUAUUGCAGGCGUUGUUGCCUAAACAGAUACUCUACAUUUAUUUGCAUUUCUUUGUCCUCACAUGGAGUAGGAAAUC
Molecule: long non-coding RNA, 1615 nt
Organism: Lactuca sativa (garden lettuce)
Lineage: Eukaryota; Viridiplantae; Streptophyta; Magnoliopsida; Asterales; Asteraceae
Source: RefSeq, a predicted model, not a curated record